UACGUAGGCGGAUCAGAAAGUAUAGGGUGAAAUCCCAGGGCUCAACCCUGGAACUGCCUUGUAAACUCCUGGUCUUGAGUUCGAGAGAGGUGAGUGGAAUUCCGAGUGUAGAGGUGAAAUUCGUAGAUAUUUGGAGGAACACCAGUGGCGAAGGCGGCUCACUGGCUCGAUACUGACGCUGAGGUACGAAAGCGUGGGGAGCGAACAGGAUUAGAUACCCUGGUAGUCC
Molecule: ribosomal RNA, 229 nt
Filed under: uncultured bacterium
Lineage: Bacteria
Description: partial 16S ribosomal RNA
Rfam family: Bacterial small subunit ribosomal RNA
Source: RNAcentral